This 324-nucleotide ribosomal RNA is filed under the name uncultured eukaryote. RNAcentral describes it as "partial 18S ribosomal RNA". It matches the Rfam family "Eukaryotic small subunit ribosomal RNA", at positions 1470 to 1796 of the family's 1831-position model. The record is from RNAcentral.
CCCCUAGAUGUUCUGGGCCGCACGCGCGCUACACUGAACAGUUCAACAAGUCUUAACCUUGGCCGAUGGGCCUGGGUAAUCUUUGAACGUGAAUCGUGAUGGGGAUAGAUGAUUGCAAUUAUUCAUCUUCAACGAGGAAUUCCUAGUAAACGCAAGUCAUCAGUUUGCAUCGAUUACGUCCCUGCCCUUUGUACACACCGCCCGUCGCUGCUACCGAUUGAGUGUCCUGGUGAAUUAUUCGGACCGACAGCAUCGGAAGUUUCUUCUGUUGCCGUUGGAAAGUCUUGUAAACCCUGACACUUAGAGGAAGCAGAAGUCGUAACA